This 107-nucleotide small RNA is filed under the name Marmota monax (woodchuck). Lineage: Eukaryota; Metazoa; Chordata; Mammalia; Rodentia; Sciuridae. The record is from RNAcentral.
GCUGGGCAUGGUGACACAUGCCUGUAAUCCCAGCAGCUGAGGAGGCAGAGGUAGGAGGAUUGCAAGUUCAAAGCCAGCCUCAGCAACUUAGUGACACCCUGUCUCAA